UCUUUUGUUGUACACAGAAUCAAUUUGAAAUAAUCCUCUAACGUGCGAUACUAUGAAUUCUGUAACCAUGUUUUCUCUCCUCACUAAUUAUUCGGCGUAUUGCACUAAAACACAUUACUCGUUCUAUUAGCAAUCUUUGGGCAGUAUUCCUUCUUCCUGUACCAAAUCCACUAACCCUGGCAGUAAAGCAUUAUUUUACCAUUGUUAUACGGCCACAGUGACAUCAUAUAUUUGUAUUAUGCCCCGAAGAACUGUCGUAUUAUUUGUGUCAAUAAUUGCGCUCUGUACUGAGCUGGAUUUGCAUUCUGUCCAUGCUAUUAACCUACCACGCCUUCGUUUCGCAGGAGACGAUUCCGACGACUUGGUCAUGAUUCCUAAGGCAGACGACUCGGGCAUAACUAUUAUGUCUUUCGAGCCUUGCUGGGUCUAUCGCGAUGCAUAUUUCACUGAUGGAACCUUUCGUGAUAGAGUAAUCACAAACGGGGGAGUGUGUGUACCCGACAGCAACCUUUCGACUUUCUGCGAAAAUUAUUAUGGACUGAAUCAUACUAAAUCCAACAUAAAAUGCGAAGCCUGUAAUGUCCGUACACAGUCGUGCUGUUUUCGCACCAGAACCGACAUAGAACUGCCGAGAAUUUUCAUGAGGAGUUCUCUUGAAGAGCCACCGGAGAGAUGUUGUGUAUCUAAGCCCCCCUCGACCACUCCGCCCCCACCAGCCUCAACAACGCCCCGAACCCCGGUAACGGAGCCUCCUAACGCUACCACCACCACGAUAACGCCCCCUCCAUGGACGCCUACAGUGACUACUGCUGCCACGACGCCAACGCCACCGAACGCGUCGUCGACUGGAACGACCACAACUUCUACGCCACCUUUAAACACAUCAACCACCACGAUUCCAACGACGACCAGUGGGACACUUACUCCACCAACAAGGUCGUCGACGACAUCAUGGUGGCCAACGACCACUCCUCCCUCGCCAAAUACGACCCUGACACCGCCGAACCCUCCAACCAACUCGACAACGACGCCACCAUCACCACCGCCACCACCACCUGCACCGUGUAAUACGACCUCUACCACCACUUCGACCCCGCCUAACACCACGACAACUGCAACCCCGCCACCCGUGACGGUACCAACGGGCUCGACCACGCCGUCGUUACCAUCCACAACCGGGACGGGGACAUAUCCGCCCCCGGGUCAAACAACUACACCGUCGAUUCCAAGUACCACGGGAACGGAAACAUAUCCCCCACCCAUCGACACCACAACACCGCCGACUCCGCCUACCACCGGAACGGGGACAUAUCCUCCACCCAUCAACACCACGACACCACCUGUUCCACCUACCACCGAAACGGAAACGUAUCCGCCACCUAGCCGCACUAUGACACCGUCGACUCCAAGUACCACUGGAACAGAGACAUCUCAGCCACCUGGCAAAACUACCACGCCGUGGCUACCACCCACUACCGGAACGGGAACAUAUCCACCACCCAUGAACACGACGACACCCUCGAUUCCAUCUACCACCGAGACGGGGACGUAUCCGCCACUUUUUAACACUACCACACCACCGACCCCAUCUACAACCGGAACCGGGACAUAUCCGCCACCAAGCGAUACAACCACACCGUCGUUACCACCAACCACCGGGACGGGGACAUAUCCACCACCGAGCAAUUCAACCACACCAUCGACUACAACUACCACUUCAACGACAUCAAAGACUACAACGCCCCCGUCGUCAACCACCACCGGGUCGGUACCACCUCCUUCGUUAACUCCAUCCAUUCCGCCACCAACGGUAACUUUAACCCCAACCACGACCGCCCGUCUUACCACCUCCACCAAUAUUCCUCCGCCAUUCACCACACCGAACACCACCGUCCCACCCUGUGAUGACAGCGUCCCUAGCCCUCCCUUGCCGCUGUAUCCGCGAUGUGGUGUCACACUGGACCCAACAUACGCCGCCCCCGACUGCUUUCUUGUUGACAUCGGCUUCUAUGUGACACCUUCCUGUAAUCCCUUCGAAGCCCAGCGCUGGACUAGGAACGGAAACAGCCACGUCGGCGUUAUAAUCAACGAAACCGCUGUCUUGACAGUCGCCAGUGGUUUACGGGAUCCCAAAACCCGCAGAGCUAUGGCCAACAUCGCGGUUCGGGCCACCUCCGGCUCAGCGGAAAUAGAGGCCCAGUACAUUCUGGCCAAGCGGAUGUUCUUCCAGGACGACCACCUCCGCGCCACCAACCGCUACCCGAACCGUCUUUUCGUCCUCCUGGAACUGGAGCAGCCCAUCAACAUGGAGCGCGCCUGUCCGGUGUGUUUCUCCGAUCGGCGUCAGGAUAAGCCGCUCUCGGACAGCAAUUCCUACGAGAACCGCGCCUAUCUCGGAGAGUGUACGAUGUACGGACGCUACAAGGUGCCCUGGAGCUGGCUGUUAACAGCGAAGGGGCUGCAGUUUGGGCCUGUGGGGUACCGGCUGCUCCUUGGGAUAUCCGGACCUGCACCGAGACCCAUACGGAUUUUCACAAAAGGAUCACCCACGCUACCUGCAUGGACCCUCGCUAACGGGAUUCUGUGCCGUUGGACCUACACAGGCGCCGUUUUGUCUCGCGGACACGGGAGUACCAUUAGAAAGCAAAGUACGGAGCAAUAAUCGAAGAUGUAAUCGACGCGCCCACUCCGCUGGAUCCAGACGGUGACCGACGGCAAUGCCAAAUAUACGUAUUUCCCAAGGAACUGUACUUGUGGACUGCGUAAUAAAGGCCGACUUCAUGCUGACACAUUUGACAAUCUACGAAUGUGGCGCGAUAUCACCCUGUUUAUCACCCCACCCACGCAACGACAACACGUCCCAGUUUAGGUGGACUGGAAAUCGCUUGGGCAUGCCAGGGCUAAACGCCUUCGGCAGAGUGUGUCUUCGGGUAUGCCUUUGAGCCACAGGGUCUCGUCGCAACCUUGAACUACUACAGGGUGUUUCUGAGGCGGACGGUUCGUCGGUUUCGUUAUCGAUUAUUUUUAUGGACCGCACGCGUUUGCAGAGUGUUCUGAAUCAGACGGUUCUGCCGAAAUUUUCCUUGAAGGCGAUUGUUAUUGCCGGAAGGUCCUUUCGAGCCGGGCGCUUUGCGGAAGUACGGCUUUUACAUUUUACCUGUAGGCAGGCAAUUUUGCUCGAACGUGGAUUGCGCGGUUUGGUUUUCUCGGCGUGUUUUCGAGCUGGACUUUUUCCCAUGGAGCUGUUUUCAGCCAGUCGCUUUUGCCGGUUGGAUGUUUUCAGCCGGUCGCUUUUGCUAAUGUUGGGCUGGAAAUUGGACGUUUCGUAGAAAAUGCGCUCCACUCUAGGAUAUUGAUUAUCGACCGUUUCCCACCACUUUUCAAAAGCGAACUACUGUACGGUUCCCUUUCCAUUCCACUGUAAUGUGAUCAUCCUAUUCCUACCGGCUGCAAGCCAGGAAAAUCAUUCGCUUUUUUUCAUUGAAAUGUUUUAGCACUAUUCAUAAUAUUUUAGAGUAUUAAAUAUUUUUUAUACAGAUGGUUGAAGAUUAACCCUCCAGCGGGCGGUACCCGAAGGAGCGCGAGUAUCCUAUUGAAAAUCGGGAUUUCCCGAUGAAAAAAUUCAAUUAAGAAAGGGAAUUUUUUGUGAGCUUGUGCUGACCAUAGGUCAGCGGUGGUGACUAUGUCGCCUUCUAAACGCCAAUGCCCAUGGACGGUCUACAACAUAAAAGCGUUUAAUUCUGUAAUAGCUAGGCAAACAGGAAUUAAGUAAAACCAAU
RNA transcript from Paramacrobiotus metropolitanus, 3779 nucleotides. It is a transcript of the gene named mucin-2-like, with no coding region annotated. NCBI's taxonomy places the organism in Eukaryota, Metazoa, Tardigrada, Eutardigrada, Parachela, Macrobiotidae. The transcript is spliced from 8 exons. The record is from RefSeq and is a predicted model, not a curated record.